RNAcentral lists this long non-coding RNA (243 nucleotides) under Setaria italica (foxtail millet). RNAcentral describes it as "long non-coding RNA (SITA_LNC003025)". Lineage: Eukaryota; Viridiplantae; Streptophyta; Magnoliopsida; Poales; Poaceae. The record is from RNAcentral.
UAGAGAUCCUGUCAUAGGUUAAGGAUUGGAGAGAAUUAAAGAACCCUAGGUCUAGUACAUUCAAAUCUGGGGAAUUGGUAGCUUGGUUGAUGAGUCGUAUGUCUAGCCUUGUCUGUGCAAGAGCAGCAGCAAAUUCUUCAUCAUUUACUGGCACAUGUGAAGGGGCAUUAUCUUGCUGAAUCCAAAUGGUUUUUCAUGCAUGUUCCCAUGGCCACCGUCGAACAAUAGCAUGCAAAACUUUAC